Molecule: ribosomal RNA, 994 nt
Filed under: Omadius sp. 2 NLG-2013
Lineage: Eukaryota; Metazoa; Arthropoda; Insecta; Coleoptera; Cleridae
Description: partial 16S ribosomal RNA
Source: RNAcentral
GAGAGUAUAUAUUUAUUAAAAUUAUAAAUUUAUUAUUUAUUAAAUAAAAUAAUUAUAUUUUUAUUAUUUAUUAAGAAAAAAUUUUUUUAAUUAUAGUGAAAAGUAUUGAGAAAGAAAAUUAUUAUUUAUGGAAAAGAAAAAUUUAAAUUUUGUACCUUGUGCAUCAGGGUUGAUUAAAAAAUAAUUUUAUAUAAAAUAUUCUCGAAUUUAAAAGAGCUAAUUAAUUAUAUAUUUUAUUGUGAAAUAAAUAUUUAAAAUAUUUAAUUAGAAAUGAAACGUUAUUCGUUUUUAAAUUUAUCUAGUUUUUAAAUAAAUAAAUUUAAUUUAGCUAUUUUUUAUUAAAAAUUUAAUUUAUUAAGUUUUUAUAAAAAAUAAGUAAUUUUUUUGGGGAAAAGCUUGAAAAAAAAAUAUUAUAAUAAAAUUAAUAUUUUAAUAAUUUAUAGGAUUAUAAUUUUCUAUUAAUAAAAAAAUGUUAUAAUUAAUUAUUAAAAAAAUAUUAUUUAUAUUUUAUUUAAAUUUUAUAUUUAAAUAUAUUUUAAAAUUAUUAAAAAAUAGUAAUAAUGAUUAAAUUAGUAUAAAUUAAUGUAUAAUUAAAUUUAUAAUAAAGGUAAAUUUAAGGAAUUCGGCAAAUAUAUUUUUCACCUGUUUAUUAAAAACAUGUCCUUUUGAUUAUAAUUUAAGGUCUAAUCUGCCCACUGAGGAUUUAAAUGGCCGCGGUAUUUUGACCGUGCAAAGGUAGCAUAAUAAUUAGUUUCUUAAUUAGAAGCUGGAAUGAAAGAUUGAAUGAGAAAAUAACUGUCUCAAGUUUAUUUAAUUAGAAUUUUAUUUUUAAGUUAAAAAGCUUAAAUAAAUUUAAAAGACGAGAAGACCCUAUAGAGUUUUAUUUAAGUUUUAAUUAAUAAAAAAUUGAUUUUAAAUUUUUUAAUUGAAAUUUAAAUUUUGUUGGGGUGAUAGAAAAAUUAAAUAAACUUUUUUUAUAUUAAAACACUAAUUA